AACGAACGCUGGCGGCAUGCCUAACACAUGCAAGUCGAACGAGACCUUCGGGUCUAGUGGCGCACGGGUGCGUAACGCGUGGGAACCUGCCUUUAGGUUCGGAAUAACUCAGAGAAAUUUGAGCUAAUACCGGAUAAUGUCUUCGGACCAAAGAUUUAUCGCCUUUAGAUGGGCCCGCGUAAGAUUAGCUAGUUGGUGGGGUAAAGGCCUACCAAGGCGACGAUCUUUAGCUGGUCUGAGAGGAUGAUCAGCCACACUGGGACUGAGACACGGCCCAGACUCCUACGGGAGGCAGCAGUGGGGAAUAUUGGACAAUGGGCGAAAGCCUGAUCCAGCAAUGCCGCGUGAGUGAAUGAAGGCCUUAGGGUUGUAAAGCUCUUUUACCCGACGAUGAUAAUGACAGUAUCGGGAGAAUAAG
RNAcentral lists this ribosomal RNA (418 nucleotides) under uncultured bacterium. RNAcentral describes it as "bacterial SSU rRNA". It matches the Rfam family "Bacterial small subunit ribosomal RNA", at positions 29 to 490 of the family's 1533-position model. The record is from RNAcentral.